GAUGAACGCUGGCGGCGUGCCUAAUACAUGCAAGUCGAACGAACACACGAGGAGCUUGCUCCUCUGGCGUUAUCGCCGGACGGGUGAUUCCCUCGUGGUUAACCUACCUCUAAGACUGGGAUACCUUCGGGAAACCGUGUCUAAUACCGGAUAAUAUAUUGCACCUCAUUGUUCACUAGUUAAAGACGGUUUUGCUUUCACUUAUAGCUUGCUCCGCGCCGCAUUCGCUAGUUGGUAAGGUGACGGCUUACCCACGCUACGAGGCGUAGCCGACCUGAGAGGGUAAUCGGACAGCCGGGAACUGAGAAAGAGCCCAGACUCCUACGGGAGGCAGCAGUAGGGAAUCUUACGAGAGGGAGGAGAGGGUGACGUAGCAAAGCCGCGGAAGUGAUGAAGGUCUUAGGAUCGUAAAGCUCUGAUAUUAGGAAAGUAGAAAUGUGUAAGUAACUAGGAACGUAAUGACGGUACCUAAUCAGAAAGCCACGGCUAACUACGUG
Molecule: ribosomal RNA, 497 nt
Filed under: uncultured bacterium
Lineage: Bacteria
Description: partial 16S ribosomal RNA
Rfam family: Bacterial small subunit ribosomal RNA
Source: RNAcentral